GAAUAUAUUAGGCACUCAAUACAGUUAUUGUGGAAUCAAUAAAUAGCUGACUGAUCUAACAGAAAUACCACAAAAUAUAAAAAUACCAAAAUAUCCCCAAUGAAACAGGAAAAUUAGUAUCUUUGUUUAGGUAAAGGAGAAAAUGUAGAUUAGGAGGCAUAGAAGCGGAUGGAGCCUAUGGUUCUUGCAACAGGUAGUGGUGGUCUGGGGACACUGAUUGAGAAUAAUCAUAAUAAUGUUUAAAAUAUAUUGAGCACUUUUUUGACAUUAUAUCAUGUGUUGGUCAUUGAUUCCUGCUAACAACCUUGGGGUUGUUAUCAUCGCCUUUUCAUAAAUGGAGUUGAGGCUUAGAGAAAAGGCAGUUACUUUCUCAAGGUCACAUAGCUGUUAAGUAUGGAUUUGAACCCAGUCUAAUGCCAGAGUCUCUGCGCUAAAGCACAGUGCACACCUCUGAGACUGGUGUCAGGCCCGAGUCGGAUAAGAAUGUGUUUUUUUCUAGGCUUGGUAUAUCAGAAGCAGUUUCUCUGCUGCCAACAAUAGUUUCUUGUCUUGUCCUUGGCCAGGAGAUUUUCACGGCUCAAGGGCCACCCUUCUGCCUAGCAGCAGAGAGAGUUGUGAUCCAGGACGCACUGCUGAAGGAGACAAGCAAACCAGCAUGGUUGCGUCAGGCCAUCAUGUGUUCAAAUGGCAUUGGAGGUGGAGGGGAAGGCAGUGGUGGAGCCGCUGGGAGCACGGUGGAGCCUCCUGGAGCUGGCUUUGACCUUGUCCAUCCUGUUGGUUGCCUGGAGAGAACAUUCUGGAUUAGCAGAUUGUGAAGGAGGGGCAAAGAUGGGUGGGGGUCAGGGGAUAAGCCUGUCCUUUUUUUAAAAAAAAAUAAAAACACAAAAACUCCAGCACCUUCAGUAUAUCCCUUGUGUCAUGGAGGCAGAAGGAAGCACUCUUGAAACGGACAGAGCCUCUUUCUUGGACGCCACACAAGCCUCCCAACCUCAGCUGCCC
Molecule: long non-coding RNA, 999 nt
Organism: Manis javanica (Malayan pangolin)
Lineage: Eukaryota; Metazoa; Chordata; Mammalia; Pholidota; Manidae
Source: RefSeq, a predicted model, not a curated record